AUUAAAAAGGCAAACUUCGUGAAAGCGGAGGACGCAAAGCUUUAGAGCCUGUAAAAUGGCAGUCAGUUGCUG
Molecule: non-coding RNA, 72 nt
Filed under: uncultured Butyrivibrio sp.
Lineage: Bacteria; Bacillati; Bacillota; Clostridia; Lachnospirales; Lachnospiraceae
Description: Cyclic di-GMP-I riboswitch
Rfam family: c-di-GMP-I riboswitch aptamer
About the family: GEMM was predicted in a large-scale screen for bacterial structured RNA regulatory elements.
Source: RNAcentral